RNAcentral lists this ribosomal RNA (458 nucleotides) under uncultured bacterium. Its description in RNAcentral is "partial 16S ribosomal RNA". It matches the Rfam family "Bacterial small subunit ribosomal RNA", at positions 338 to 795 of the family's 1533-position model. The record is from RNAcentral.
CCUACGGGCGGCAGCAGUGAGGAAUAUUGGUCAAUGGGCGAGAGCCUGAACCAGCCAAGUCGCGUGAGGGAGUACUGCCCUAUGGGUUGUAAACCUCUUUUGUCGGGGAGCAAAAGCCGGACGUGUCCGGCUGUGAGAGUACCCGAAGAAAAAGCAUGGGCUAACUCCGUGCCAGCAGCCGCGGUAAUACGGGGGAUGCGAGCGUUAUCCGGAUUUAUUGGGUUAAAAGGGGGCGCAGGCGGAUUUUUAAGUCAGCGGUAAAAUCGUGGGGCUCAACCCCAUCCAGCCGUUGAAACUGGGGAUCUAGAGUGUGCGAGAGGGAUGCGGAAUGCGUGGUGUAGCGGUGAAAUGCAUAGAUAUCACGCAGAACCCCGAUUGCGAAGGCAGCAUACCGGUGCACAACUGACGCUCAGGCACGAAAGCGUGGGUAUCGAACAGGAUUAGAUACCCGGGUAGUC